RNAcentral lists this ribosomal RNA (238 nucleotides) under uncultured bacterium. RNAcentral describes it as "partial 16S ribosomal RNA". It matches the Rfam family "Bacterial small subunit ribosomal RNA", at positions 539 to 776 of the family's 1533-position model. The record is from RNAcentral.
CGUUAUCCGGAUUUAUUGGGUUUAAAGGGUGCGUAGGCGGAUUAUUAAGUCAGUGGUGAAAGCCUGCAGCUUAACUGCAGAAUUGCCAUUGAUACUGAUGAUCUUGAGUAUGAUUGAGGUGGGCGGAAUGUGUCAUGUAGCGGUGAAAUGCUUAGAUAUGACACAGAACACCGAUUGCGAAGGCAGCUCACUAAGCCAUAACUGACGCUGAUGCACGAAAGCGUGGGGAGCAAACAGG